Lontra canadensis (Northern American river otter) is the source of this 527-nucleotide long non-coding RNA. RefSeq lists it as uncharacterized. NCBI's taxonomy places the organism in Eukaryota, Metazoa, Chordata, Mammalia, Carnivora, Mustelidae. The record is from RefSeq and is a predicted model, not a curated record. The transcript has 4 exons.
UCUGCAGUGUGGGCAGGACAGAAAGCUUCCGGUUGGGCCAGGGACUGGGAAAGUUUCCGGUGGUAGGAGGAAAACAGGAACCAAUCCACUCCAUGGUUUUCUGCUUGGCUUCCUCCCAGCUGAAGAGCGGCUUAUACCCCAGAUCCCGCUGAGCUUUCUUAUAGGAGAAGCCUCCCUGGGAUACCAUACCCUUCAGAUUGACAUUCAUGAUGGUCUCUCGGUGAAGGACAUUCAUGACGUCAAUGACAGAGGCAGUGUGAAUGACAACCGAGAUGCCCUGGCAAGCUCUCUUCAGGCACUGCUCAUCCAGAAUGUCUCCUUCCACCAUCAUCAAAUUGGUCUUGCUCUGGAGCUCUGUGUGAACACAAGUCAGGUCACUGGAAGGUUUUCUGGGUCUGGAAGUUUCCCGAUAAAGGUGGCGUUUUCCCAGGUCUUCAAGGACAGCAGAUAUCAGUGCCGAAAAUAUGUCAGCCACCAAGGGACUAACAUUCUGGCCACUGAGCCAAGGGCAGUGGAUUCAACCUCAG